Molecule: ribosomal RNA, 253 nt
Filed under: uncultured bacterium
Lineage: Bacteria
Description: partial 16S ribosomal RNA
Rfam family: Bacterial small subunit ribosomal RNA
Source: RNAcentral
UACGAAGGGUGCUAGCGUCGUUCGGAAUCACUGGGCGUAAAGCGCGCGUAGGCGGCGAUGCAAGUCAGAGGUGAAAGCCCGGAGCUCAACUCCGGAAUUGCCUUUGAAACUGCAUUGCUAGAGUGUCGGAGGGGAUAGCGGAAUUGCUAAUGUAGAGGUGAAAUUCGUAGAUAUUAGCAGGAACACCGGUGGCGAAGGCGGCUAUCUGGACGACAACUGACGCUGAGGCGCGAAAGCGCGGGGAUCAAACAGG